RNAcentral lists this ribosomal RNA (164 nucleotides) under Cathetus filicaulis. RNAcentral describes it as "Phyllanthus filicaulis 5.8S ribosomal RNA". Lineage: Eukaryota; Viridiplantae; Streptophyta; Magnoliopsida; Malpighiales; Phyllanthaceae. The record is from RNAcentral.
UAAACGACUCUCGGCAACGGAUAUCUCGGCUCUCGCAUCGAUGAAGAACGUAGCGAAAUGCRAUACUUGGUGUGAAUUGCAKAAUCCCGUGAACCAUCGAGUUUUUGAACGCAAGUUGCGCCCAAAGCCCUCGGGCUAAGGGCACGUCUGCCUGGGUGUCACGC